Arachis stenosperma is the source of this 1846-nucleotide long non-coding RNA. RefSeq lists it as uncharacterized. The transcript has 2 exons. The record is from RefSeq and is a predicted model, not a curated record. NCBI's taxonomy places the organism in Eukaryota, Viridiplantae, Streptophyta, Magnoliopsida, Fabales, Fabaceae.
AGGAAAUCACCAACUCGGCCCCCUUCUAACUUUUUUUUCCAAAAUCAAUAAUUGAUUCCUCUAAUAAUCGUUUUUGGUUAAUUACCGUUGAGACUUGAGAGAGAUUUUCACAUAUGUAACCAUCGCAACUCGCGAGUCUUCAUCAUGACAUUUAAUCAUUUUUAAGAUAUGCUCAAUUAUUUCUGUUCCAAUUUUUUAAUCAUAACAUGGGACUAUUAUAUGAUACGUAAUUAUCUAGUAUAAUUUGCUAUCAGCACUAAAUAAAAAUCAAAUAUUUCAUAACUUUACUUAUUAUGAGUUCAAGAAAUCAACUGUUGGUAUAAAAAUAGGUAGGUUCAGUUUGAGUGGUUGAGCUAUAAACUAGGAUGUUCAAAACUGAUUUAAACAGAUUUAAACCGAUCAACUGAAUCAAAUAAAUAAAAAACUGAACAAAUCAAAAAUAAAAAAACCAAAAAAAUUACAUUUUGUUGUUUUUAUUGUAGUUGGAUUCGGUUUUCAAUUCUGACAAUGAAAAUUCCAACCAACCCCCUCCCCGCACCUAAUCCCCCACCCCCAAACGUAAACCUAGCUUCUCUCGCUCUUUUCUCUCAUUUUCGCACUCGCAGUCUUGCUCUCUGAUGCUCUCAGGCUCUUCUCAAAGUUUUUUAUUCUUCUCAGUUCUUACUAGCACCGAAGCCUUCCUCCCAGCAGCGUUUUUUCCAGCAGCGCCCAGCGUCACUAGCGAGCACCGAUCCAACAACGUUCUUCCCAGCAGCGCCAAGCCGCCAACCACCGAAGCCUUCUUCCCACCGAGCUACCCAGCACAGCACCAGCCAACAGCGUUUUAACUUAACCCACAACACAGGACAGCACAGGACCGACCACCGAGCCACCCAGCCGCCGAUUCAACUAAGAUAUGGAGCCCGAGCCUCUGAGUCAGGUUGGGGAGAUUAUUAGCAGAUUUGAGAAGAAGAGAUUUUACUUAAAAUGUAACUUCUUUUGUUUUUGUUAGUACUUAACAUACGUGCUAACAAUUUAGUUUAGAAACUCCACAAAUUUUUAGCCUUAUGCCGAGAGACACUAUACUCACUUAUCUACAAAGCUUUUCUUUAAAGGAUUGGUCUGAUAUAUUAUCUCUGGUUCUAUUAUUGCCAUGGUUUGGGAGGGUAAAGGUGUUGUUGUAACUGGCCAAAAGCUGAUUGGAGCAACAAACCCCUUGGCAUCUGAGUCUGGAACUAUCCAUGGUGACUUCGCCAUUGCAUCGGAAGAUAACUAUAAACUCAUUUCUAUCUAACAGCAUGGUUUCGUAUGUGCUUUCCAUAGAUAUGGAUCGUAGGUCUGUUAAGUAAAUUUUAGGUUGACAACUAAAAUGGUUAAUGUUAUAAUCUUGUUUUUGAAAUAUUUGUUCAAAUUAAUCAUAAAAUCAAGUGCACUUUAAAUAAAGGUUGUAGUGGUCUAUGUGUGUGGAUCCUUUCUGAUUGGAGUAUUGGACAUGUCAGUUAUAGAAUUUUAACAUUGUUUGAUAAGGUAGUCUCUAGAAUGAGUCUUAAGAGACGAUGGUGAAGAUUCACCUGUGACAUGAUCAAGUGCUUUUUUCAAUAAUUAUUAUUUUUAUUAUGUAACUGUCUUUUGAUUUCAGGUUGGUUAGCUUAAAGAAGUUUCAUUGUUUUGUUGGAGAGGACAUCAAAACGUGACUAUCUGUUGCUGGAAAUUUGUUUUUAUUUUUUGUUUUGUUAACUAUUGAACUUUUAAACUUUUUUUAUUGUCGUAUUUUAAUUUCUUUUGUCAUUAGAUUUCAUUGGAUCAAGACUUUUGUUAGUUAUGGUGUACUUGUAUUCUAUAAUUUCAAUGUUAUCACUUUGUGAAA